UGGGGGAGGCUGGGAAGCCAGGGUGGUGGGUGACAUUGAGCUGGCUCCGCAGGGUGGAGUUUGCCAAACAGAGAAGCAAGGCACAGACACUCAUUGUUUUCUUCUCUCCUUCUAUCUGUCUGUCUCUGUCUCUCUUUGUCACUCUUCCCGCACCCCUCUUCCUGGCUGCUUUCUGCUUCUGUGUACUUCUGAUUUUUCUGUUUUUUCCUGUUAUCCUCUCUCCCCAUCUGCCUGUUUUGUUUUUUUUUCUCUCUGUCUCACUGUCUCCCAUCAUGAUCUCUCCCCCCAUGUCUGCUGUCGGAUCUCUCUCCUUCCUUCUCUCCCUGCCUUCCUGUCACUCAUGGUCUUUCUCCCUUCCCCAACCCGGCAUCCACCUGUGUCUCCCUCCCUUUCCUCUCUCUUUCUGUUUUUAUCUCAAUUUCUU
RNAcentral lists this long non-coding RNA (424 nucleotides) under Homo sapiens (human). RNAcentral describes it as "HSALNT0126338". The record is from RNAcentral. Lineage: Eukaryota; Metazoa; Chordata; Mammalia; Primates; Hominidae.